RNAcentral lists this long non-coding RNA (22307 nucleotides) under Vitis vinifera (wine grape). RNAcentral describes it as "long non-coding RNA (VVIN_LNC001198)". The record is from RNAcentral. Lineage: Eukaryota; Viridiplantae; Streptophyta; Magnoliopsida; Vitales; Vitaceae.
UUUCCAGAUUGUCAUUUUCUCCAGAUUUCAGGUCAGACAGGCCACUGGAUGUUUGCUCUUUGUAUUUCAGGUCCUUGUGGUGUCUCUUGUCUCUUGGUUUCUCCCUGUCACCUGAUUCAUCAUCCAAAUCCUGCUGUGUUUUAUCAUAAUUUGACCUCUCCUUGUGCUUGAGGUCCUGGUGCUGUCUCUUGUCUCUUGGUCUCUCCCUGUCACCUGAUUCAUUGUCCAAGUCUUGCUGUGUUUUAUCAUAAUUUGACCUCUCCUUGUGCUUCAGGUCCUGGUGCUGUCUCUUGUCUCUUGGUCUCUCCCUGUCACCUGAUUCAUCGUCCCAAUCUUGCUGUGUUUUAUCAUAAUUUGACCUCUCCUUGUGCUUCAGGUCCUGGUGCUGUCUCUUGUCUCUUGGUCUCUCCCUGUCACCUGAUUCAUCGUCCGAAUCUUGCUGUGUUUUAUCAUAAUUUGACCUCUCCUUGUGCUUCAGGUCCUUGUGGUGUCUCUUGUCUCUUGGUCUCUCCCUGUCACCUGAUUCAUCAUCCAAAUCUUGCUGCGUUUUAUCAUAAUUUGACCUCUCCUUGUGCUUCAGGUCCUUGUGGUGUCUCUUGUCUCUUGGUCUCUCCCUGUCACCUGAUUCAUUGUCCAAAUCUUGCUGUGUUUUAUCAUAAUUUGACCUCUCCUUGUGAUUCAGUUCCUUGUGGUGUUUCUUCCUUUUUAAUCUUCCCCUUUCACCUGAUUCAUCUUCUGAAUCUGUUGGUGCUUUUUCCUCAUAAUUUGACCUCUUAUGGCUACCAUCCUUUCUUCUUUCUUCUUCAGGAGUGACAUUUUCAGAUUGGUGUCUCGAUGAAGAAUGCGUGUGAUGCUUUGAACUCUUGUGAUGAAGUUUCUUUUCCUCUUUUCUAUCGUGUUUCUUCUCCUUGGGCUUUUUCUCUUCCACCUACCAAAAAAUCAACAAGGACAGCAGCAUGAUCAGCAAAAGCUUUGGUGCAGAAUCAUUGUAAAGAAUUUUGGUGUACAAUGUAGUUAAACAAAAUGCCAUAGAUAACAUAAUUUUGUUGAUUUCUUUCAAUAGAACUCAUAUCUUCAUCAUAUAUCAAUGUUCCAUAGAAUUUUUUUGGGGGAGAUGUCAUGUGGCUUCCAACCUAAUCACGCAAUCUCAGUUUUUAACUUGAUUCAUAAUCUCCUAUUUUUCAUCCUUGGUGUCAUUAGGCACGUUGGCCCCACAAAUCUGUCUAAACAGACAAGUUCAAGGUUGUUUAGUCAUUUUUAAUAGCUUGCUAUUUUCACUCUAGGGAAAUAAAAAUAUUCUAAGAAUUCUAUGGACAUUCAGAGGGUGUUUGGUGAUUUACUUAAUGACUUAAAGUGACUUAAUAACUUAAUUUCAAUUAUUAAGUAGAUUAAACAUGUUUGGUAAAACAGCUUAAUAUCACAACUUGAAAUUAAAAAUGACUUUACGUAUCAAGUCAAAAUAAUUAACUAAUUAUUAAUCUUAAAUCUUUUUUGUUUCAUUUACCCAUAUGUAAGGAGAGUAUAUUUAACAACCAUGACUCCACAUUUCUGAGUCAUUUUUUAUAAUAAAUAUUUUAAGGUUAUUUUAUAUAUCUACAAUACUUUAAAUAUAGAUAUUUAAUAAACAAAUUUAUUGCUUAAGAUCAAUAAAAAUAUAUAUUAGUUAAAAUUAAUGAUGAUAAAUAUCAAUUACAACUAAUGAGGGUAAAUGUGAAUUUGAUAACUUAAAAUAAAUUUUAAGUUAAUUUGAUCAAACAACUUAAACACUUAAAGUAAAAUAUAAUUAAUAGGUUCUAAUUUAACAACUUAAGAGCAAUUUCACUUAAAGUCAACUUAAGUCAUUAAGUAACAAACAUUAAGUUUUACCAAACGCCCACUCAAACUUGUACUUAUUUACACUAGUAUGCACUCUUCAAUAAAGUUUUUGUUCAUAAAAGAUAAUUACUUGUGAAAAAACAAUUACCAUACCAUCACAACUCCUGCCACUAAUAUUUAGCUUAUAAAUGGGAUAAACUUACAGAUUUGCGGAUCAUGGCCAUCUGAACUGGAUUGUUCUUAAUGUGUGCCAGGGCUUCUUGUUCUCGCUGUCGAAUCAUAAGCAAAGGAUCAGAAUGAAGUUUCCUCCAUGUAUCAUUGGCAGAUUGAGGUUUCUCCUCAAAUAAAGCUCCUGGCACGGAUGGUUGCUGCUGCUAAGACAUACCACAAAUUCAAAAUUCAAAAAACAGCUCUUGAAUAAAUCAUGUGCCUUUUAUUCAUCAAUCAAAAGGCUAAAGCACUGGCAAAUAACCGAACUUCAAAUUACCUUGGCAGAAGAAGAGGAGGCUACAUCGUUGCUGGGCAGGGCUUCCAGUGCUUUGAAUCCAUCAGAGCUGCCCUUUCCUACUGCUAAUCCAGAAUCAUAAAGAAAUUCCAAUCUCUCUUGCUUGCUGAAAAAUAAAGUAGUUAAAAAAGAAUUAAUUUCAUAAAUUAUUCAAAACACUUAAACAUCAUAAAUCCUAAUAUGCAAAACGAAACAAGAAACUAGAUUGAUUUCAUAAAUUUAACCCUAAGUUUAAAAUCAACAAAUUAUAUUAAAAAAAAAAAAAAGAAUAAUGUAAUGACAAAAUGGAACAUUUUCAUAGAUCCUACUGGAAUGCUGCAAACCCUAACCUUAACCAUAGCCAUAAAAUCGACAAAUCGUAAUCCAUUUCAUAAAGAAUUAAUUAGUCAAACCCAAACUUUCAUAAAUUCGUUAAACCAGAGAUAUUAUAAACCCUAACUAUAGGCCUAACCCGAAGCUUAAAACCAACCAUUUAUAAUGAAAAAAAUGGGUUAAUUCCAUAGAUCCUUCCAAACCAAAAUAUUGUGAACCCUAACCCUAACCAUAAAAUCAGCAAAUUAUUAUCCAUUUAAUAAAUCAUUCAAACCAGAAUUAUUGUAAACCUACCCCCUAACCCUAACUCUAACAUCAGAAAAUUAUAAUCCAAUAAAAAAAUUCUGCAAAGCCGAGAUAUUGUAUCAGAAACCCUAAUCCUAAUAUGAAGAAAGUAUGACAAAAAACAGCGAGAGUAACAUACGGAACGAGGCCAGCUUGUUCCUGGAGGAGCCGAUAUUCUGAGCGCUCCCUCUCCUCCAGAAUCUGUUUGCGGAGCUCUUCCAAUUUCUUCUGCUCAGCGUCAUGCUUCUGCUCAGCCUUCCACACGUUCUCUAUGUUCCGAAGACUCCCCGUGUGCCAUCCCUUCUUGUUCAAAAACUUCAACGCCAUAGAUCUUCAAUUUCAAUUCCAAUUCCAGAUUUUUCAGAGGUUUAGAUCUGCAAAUUCUGCUGCUUUUAUUUUCACUUCUUUCCUUUUUUCUUCCGGAGGUUCGCCCAUUUCGUUGUAAUCUUAUAUUUGCAAUCAUUUAUUUAUUAUUAUUAUUAUUAUUAUUUAAAAAAAAAAAAAAAAAAAACACUCUAGAGGUAGGGUCAAAUAGCACGUGCCUCUUAUACUGAAUUUAUCUGAUAUUUGAUUGUUGCAAAGUGUAUCGAGAAAGAGCUUGAUCAUGGAAGGUUUCUCGAUCAUCAAUAAAAAUAAAAAUGUUGUAUUUAGAUAUAUUUUUUAUUUUUAAAAAUAUAAAUUUUUAUUUUUUGUUUUAAAAAAUAUAAAUUUAUAUAUAAAAAUUAAAAACUUUUAUAUAAAAUGUAUUUUUAAACAUAUCAUAAUAAAAAAUUUUAAUACCUUAAUUAUUAUUAUUUUUUUUGUCAAUUUUCAAAAAUCAUUAAUUUUUAAUAUAAGUCUAUAAAGUUCCUUAUAAAAAUUACUAUUAUUUCUAUUUUUAAAAUUAAAAGGACACUUUUUCUUAAUACCCUAGUUUAAAAAAUAAAAAAUGCUACUACAUGUACAACAAAAAAUGAUAAAUAAUAUUUAGUAGGAAUAUUGUAUUAAAAAUAUUUCAUAUUUUUAAAUACAAUUAUUAUAUUGUCAUUAAUUGCAAAAAUGUCAACAAAUGUUAUAAAUUUGUAAAUUUUGAUAUUCUCGAUGGAAUCAUUCCAUGCUAUGGAUUUUUUUUUUAAAAAAAGCAUUAUUAAAACACAAUUGUUUAAAAAAUAAAUACAAAAAUACCACACUUUUUAUCAUUUUUUUUUAUUUUUACACUAAACUAUGUCUUUUUAAAAGACAAUUUCCUUUUUUAUCUUAAUACUUUUUAUAUUAAACUUCUCUUUCCAAAAUACAAAUUCAUUUUUUUUACAGGUAACUCACAUUUUCAAUAUACGAAAUCUACUCGAAAUUAAAAUGUAUCGUAAAUACAUAUAUAUAUAUAUAUAUAUAUAUAUAUAUAUAUAUCGCCCAUGAAAUCGUGACAAAUCCACAACGGUUUGGUAACACCAUUUACUUGUGUACCAAUUCCGUCUUCCACUCUUGCAUGAAAAUAUUAGGUAUUGAAUGUCAUUUUGUUCAUUUUCAAUUCAAGUUUCUCAUAUAUUCACUAAGAAUCAAUUGAUGAUAUUUUAUAUUAGCCUCUUGGGAAGGAGUUUUCUUGCUUUUACAUAGGGGGUGCAAUUUGGAUGGGUUAAUCGAGUUGAUGGCUAAUCCAAGUCCAACAUGAAUUAAAAAGCAAUUAAUCUAUGUUCAAUCCAACCCGAUCUCUAUCUCAAGGUACUCAAUUUAAAUUCAACUAACUUCAUUUUUCUAAACCUAAGUUGAGUUCAGGUUAUUCAAGUUUGAUUCGAGUUAAAUUUGGGUUAAUCAGAUUGUAUAAUUCAAAAUUUAUUUAUGAUAUUGUAGACCCCUUUUAUGGGGGGCCCGGGGGGAGAGUUUUUCUCUCUUUGGGCAUUUCUUUUUUAAACAAGGGGGGACCCUUUUCUCUAGGGAAUGUUGAGGCCUCGCGUCCCUGGUGAUCCACGUAAUUGCCAAAUGGAUGGACGCAUGAUCUUAACCAAUAUAGAUUCCUGGUUUAGUCGUUCCUGCAAAAGGCGUCCGGACAAGGUGUUCGGACACACCCUCCGAUGGUUUUGUCAGCCAUGGUUAGAGAGAUAAAUCAGUUGACCUUUUACUAGGUAUAGCAAGCUUACCUUCCUCCUUGUAUGAAGGUCUAUAUAUAUAGUGUUAGGAACUUUGUUUCCCUCUUUAAUGGUAGGGAGAUAUUUUGGCUUCGUCAUGAUGCCUCUAGGUGGUGGCAAGGUCAUCAUCACCCUACGGGCGGCUGACAGAGAUCGUGGGAGGCGCCGCAACUGUCAGAGGUCGUGGGAAGUGACUUGCCGUCACUUCAUUCCUGUCUUUUCACUCUGCAGGUGGCGGAACGUGGGCCGUGGCAGGUUGUUGGAAUGAUGUGCAAGACUUGCUUACUUCAGUCAACAAUCCGGACAAAACAUAUCCGGAUAGGAUAUGUCGGUCGUCCGGAUGUGAUAUGACGGUCGUCCGGAUGUGAUGUUUGCGAGUGUAGUGUGCCUCUCCCUGAGGGAGUCCGGAUAGGAGAAGCGCGCCACGUGCACUCUUGGGGGAAUCCGGAUGGGGGUAAUCCGGAUAGAAACGUGUGCCACGUGUCAUUAGGAAAUGUGUGCCAUGUGUCAUCAGGGGGAGGGGUCCCUACAGGGAAGACCGGGCUGCAAAGAGGAAAAGGAGUAGGGAUGACCAUAAUUUCAGGAGCCAUGCCUGCUGAUGAGGACACAGGAGAGUGGGUGAGAGGGACAGAAGGCUUUUGAGGUCAGGAGGAGAGGGAGGGAGGAGGAGAAAAAGGCGCUCUGGAGGUGGCAGACGAGCAGGAGGAGGGAAAGCCGAACCACAUUCAGCUAGAAAGCUCAGGUAUGGCCAUCUCCUCAAUUCUGAUCUUUAUUUUUCGCUAUUUUUGCUCAGUGCUGUGAAUCUAUUUUUCUCUGUUAUUGGGCUUGUUGAUUAUUGCUUUGGCACCAUUCUUUCCGAACCCCAUGCGCGACCACCCUCUGUAACUCUCCACUCUUUCAUCCUCACUACCCAUCAGAAACACCACCCUCCCAUUUCCAUCAUCUCUUUCACGUGCAUGGAGUCUCAUGCAUGGCUACCCAANNNNNNNNNNNNNNNNNNNNNNNNNNNNNNNNNNNNNNNNNNNNNNNNNNNNNNNNNNNNNNNNNNNNNNNNNNNNNNNNNNNNNNNNNNNNNNNNNNNNAAAGUCCAGCCCUACUUGAACUCCUCCGCCUCCAUUACCAACAGCAGGCUGAGCCUCACCUGGGCCUUGAAUCCCUCCGUCAUCCACCACCGUCGACGAGGAAGAAGAAACCCGGCUAGGCUUCGCCGGGCCUUGUUUGCGGCGUCGCCGGCCCUGCGUCAGGCGUGACGCAGCCCCGGUCAUCUGCACCGGCCAGCACCAUGUCCGACCAAGCUGAGAGUUCAGCCAUUGACACCGCCCGCUCGUCGCGAUGAGUGAGAGUCACCAUCCUCGCCGUCGUCUUCACCGGCAGCAUGCACUUCAAGGCCUUGGAGGGCCUCGCGACCGCCUCCAUUCAGUAGCCGCCUUCGUCCCGCCGACAGCGAGGGGUUCCGUCCGAGGGUAUUGCCCAGGCGGUGGAGUGGAGGGUGAAAAUUUUGGUCCCUUGGGCUUGCCCAUAUUGGCCUUGAACUUGGGCUUAAGUUGGUGCCUUGGGCUUGCCCAUAUUGGUGACAGGUUUGGGCUUGAGUUGGAGCCCAGGCCCAUAGUUGCUGAUGAAAGGCCCCUUUGCUCCCUAUUCUAGCCAUCUCCAUGGCCCAAGUCCAUGUUGGGUUAGCCCAUUUGGCUACAUUAUGUCUAAACAAGUUUUUUUAAUCUCUAACCUUAGUAAAUUAUUAACUUAUUCAUGUUUUUAUUUAUUUAUUAUUUAUUCUUAUUUUUACCUUAUUUUAUCUUCACCAAUUUAGUUAGCUCAACUUAAAGACAAUUAAAAGAUAAAUUAUUAUUCUUAAUUAUAUUUUUAUCUUGAAAUUUACACUAUUCAAUUUCACUAGUUUAAACAUUAUGAUUGUCAACUAUUAUUAUUAUUUCGUACGUAUCUAUUUAUCAUCUUUCAAAAUCUCACUCAUCAAAGUUAAAUUCUAAUCCUUCAAAAACCCCAUAUCUUAAUCUAAUAUUUCAAUAAUCCGUUUAAAUCUCGUUUUCAUCAAUUAAGAAUUAUUAUCAUAUAUUUAUCUAGUUAUUUGAAGUCUUACCCUUUCAAAAAUCUCAUGUCUUAAUUCAAUUUUUCAACAGUCCGUUCAAACCUUAUUCGUCUAAAUGUUAUUUUCGUUAAUUAGUAUUAUUAUCCUAUAUAAGUUUAUUUAUUUAAAAUCCAAUCCUUCAAAGAUCCAAUGCCCUAAUUUCAUUUUCCAAGCCCUGAAAAUUCCACUAUUCGUCUAAAUGUCAUUUUCGUUAAUUAGGAAUUAUUGUCUCAUAUUUAUUUAUUCAAAGUCUAAUCCUUCAGAAAUCCAAUGUCAUAAUUUAAUUUUUCAAUCCUAAAAAUUCCACUAUUUGUCUAAAUGUUGUUUUCGUCAAUUAGAAACUCGAUACUUGUUUACCUCUUUUAAAAAUCUCAAUCAUUGAACUUAAUUCUCGACCCUAAAAAUCCCACUAUCCUUUUUUAUUCGUUUAAACGUUGUUUUCGUUAAUUAUUAUUAUUACCCUAUAUUAGUUUAUUUAUUUAAAAUCUAAUUCUUCAAAAACCUCAUGUCUUAAUUUAAUUUUUCAAUCCUAAAAAUUCUACAAUUCGUUUAAAUGUUAUCCUCAUAAAUUAGAAUCAUUAUCCCAUAUCUAUUUAAAACCCAAUCUUUCAAAAACCCCAUAUCCUAAUUUAACUUUCAAUCCCAGAAAUUCCAUUAUCCGCCUAAAUGUUAUUUUCAGUAGUUAGAAUUCUUAUCCCCUAUCUAUUUAUUUACUUAAGGUCCAACUCUUCAAAAAUUCAACGUCCUAAUUUAAUUUUUAAUCCUAAAAAUUCCACUACUCAUUUUCUAUCCGUUUAAAAUAUUGUUUCCGUUAAGUAGUAUCAUUAUUCCAUAUUAUCUAUUUAAUCUAAUCGUUAAAGUUCAAUUCAUCAGAACCCGACUUCCAAAUCUAAUUUCCAACCUCAAAAGCUCCACCGCCCACAUAUCGCCGUUUAAUGAUUAUUCUCGUUAUCAAUGUUAUCCCAUCUACUCACUUAUUCAGUUAUUCAUAUAUCAAAGAUCUCAUCUCUAAAUAAAUUCUCAAGUUCUCAAUCUCUAAAUUCACAUCUUCAAAUCUCUAAAAUUCCAUCUUUCGCAAUUAUUUACCUAAACUUUAUUACUUCACCUUCGUUAUUAUUCCAUCCCUUUACUUAUUCACUCAUCCACUUAUCCCCCCAUUUAAAAUCCCGAACUCUCAAACCAUUUUCAAAGUUUCCAACCUCGUUCAAAUUUAAUUUCUAAAAAUUCUCAUUCCCGCAUUUAAUUCCUGAAAGUCCGAUCUUCAAAUAAACUCUAAAAUCCCAAUUUUCUUUAAAUAACCUUCGAGACUCCAAUUUUUCAAAUGAAUUUCAAAAAUCCGAUUUUCUCUCAAAUAGCUUUAAUUCCAUUUUGGUCUUCAAACAAUCUUCUGCUCCUCUUGAUUUUAAUAAGCAGGAAAGAGUUUUCCGUAAUUCCGAAUAAUGGAAUUUAUGGGAUUAAUUCAUGCAAUAUAAAUCGGGCUCUGGUGAGGGCCCAACAUAUGUGAUUUCCUUAUGAUUGAUUGAUUGUUUGUCUGAUUUAAUUGCUAUGCAUGAUUGAUUUUAUUCUGCUCUAUGACAUGCUCGAAAUUAUUCCUUAAUUGUGCACUAACCUCACUUUUUGAUAGCGCUUUAUGGAUCACUGCCCAGGUACGCAUCCACAUCUACUCGGGUCAUUUUCUGUAUGCAUGUUUAGAUUCUCACAUGUGCAUGAUCACUCUGAGUAUUCAUUGAUUCCCUCAUCAAUUGCCAUGAUUGCUUCAUGUUAUUAGUAGAGACCCAACUUUAGGGACUUAGAAGGGUGAUAUGGUCUUUACCGUACCUUUCUGAUAAGUAACCUGACCCCUGAACCCGAUCCGGUUUUUCGUAGACCACCUUUUCCAAAUAAGGAGUCACACUUAGGGUUUUUAUUUCUUAUUUUGUUUACCCUUUUAAAAAUAAAACAAAAAUAAGUGGCGACUUGAUCGCUCGGAUUUUGUCGUUUAUUGGAUCAAAACAAAAUUUAUAACCUAAUUCACUAUUUUAUAGCAAUUUGUACCCGAUCAAAAAGUGGUUUUAGUACAAACUACUGUAGUAUAGUGGUUUUUAGGUAUCGUCCACAAGGAUGGAUUAUUCUUGGUAAUUAAGGCUUGAAUGAGAUGAUAAGAAAUGAUUGUGAUCAAAUGAAAUUGAUUUGAAAAUGCAUGAUAAAAUUCCAAAAUAACAAUGUAUUCAAAUUGAGAGGAAAAUGAAGUGUAAAAGAGAAGAAAAUUAAUAAGAGGUGAGAUUCUCGGAGUUAGGAUUUUCUAGAAAGCAAUUUCCAUGGUGAAUAAAUGUUGAGAUCUAAUUUUCAUCAAGUUAGAUUGAAAACCUAAAUUUUCUUCAAAACCGAUUUUUGAUUUAGCUUUAGAUCUAGAUCUAAUUUCUCUUCAAAUUAGGUAAUAUAAUCCAAGAGAUCAAUUUGAAUCAUAUAUUCAAUUCAUCUUAAAUUAUCUUCCAAUGAUUCACACAAUGCAACUAUUCAAUCUCAUCAAAUCUAGCAUUAAGAAUUUGAUGAAUCUAUCUAGCUUGCAUUGUAGUAAUCAUCCAAGACAAUUUGAAGAGAAAAAUCCCCAAAUUUCAAUUAAUCAAUCAAUUGGAUCAAAUUACCUUAGCAAUUCAAGCUCAAUUCUCUAAUUCACCAUAGAUCUUGCCUCUAGAUCCUCCCUCCUCCAAGAAAACGAGAUUUAGCCACUCAUGCUUGGAGAUUUGAUCUCACAAGACAUGUUUGGCUACCGAGAAAAUAAAAGAAACUGAAGGAAAGUGGAGAAUUAUAUAGAGAGAAGAAGUAUGAAAAGUUCUACAAUUAGAAAAUGUAAAAAGGUCUAAAAAGUCCCUCAAUAAGUAAAAUCCCGUUUCUAUUUAUAGGCCAAGGUAAAAAGGACACUUGACAACAUUUUAGAGGUCUUCCGGAUGCUUCUUCAUCAAGGAAUCUGGAGAGAAUGCAUUUUCGCACGAGCCCUUAGCAAUCUCGCAUGAUGGUGCGAAGUGGAAAACCUUUCAGCUGCAUUUUCGUCUUGCUGGAGCAUUUCGCAUGACUGCGAAAUCACUUUUCACAUUGCCCUUAUGUGCUGCAGCCAACAUCCUUCCUGUUUCAUUUCGCAUGACUGUGCGAAAAUUUCGCAUGGUCAUGCGAAAUCGAAAAUCAUGCUAUUCCGGCUCCUCUUUGCAAUCUCUCUCAUUUCUUCAUGUUUAAUCCAUCUCCACCACCUUCAAUUAAGCUCCAAAGCUUGGUCCAAGUGCAUUUCAUUGCUUCUUUCAUUAUGCAUUUGGAUUCUCAUCAACUUCAUAUAUUUUCUUCAACUUGAUUAAUCUCUUUUGCCACCAAUAUAUCAAAAUUAUACCUUGAAAUGACUCCUAAACUUCAUAAAACUUGUUAGUAACUCUUGCAAAGGCAACAACAUGCUAAUUGAGUGUUUUAGACAUAAUUACUACUCAAAAGAUGUGAAAAUCAUGAGAAUUAUUAUCUAAAAUAUGUUCUUUUUGAGUAGUAAUCACGACUCCAAGUCAUUUUCUUAAUCAAUAAAAACCAUUUUUCAAACCAAAAUCGAGCUCGCCUUCGAGUGGGAAACACACGAGCCGAAAUGUGGGGUCCACAGAUAUGUUUAAAAAAAAUUAUAUAUAUUUAUAUGAAAUUUAAAUGAUAAAUAGGAAAAAAAAUUCAAGAUAACAAAAAAAAACAAAGUUUCAUUUAUAUAUUUUUCUAAAAAAUGAAAAAUAUAUGUUGUAAUAUAAUUUGAUAUUUUAAAAAAUAUAUAUAAAAAGAAAAUGAAUAUUAUUAUGUAAGAUAAUAUGCAUUAUAAAUAUUAUAAAAACAUUAAAUCAAGUUCAGAUUGUCUAAACCUUAAUCAAAACUCAAUUCAAAUUGAGUUCAAAUUGAAAAAAUCUAACACAAACUCAAUCUAAGUAUUAAAAAUGAUUGUCUAAAGCCGUUUAAAUUUUGAGAUGGGUUUGGAUUAAUUUGAGCCAACCCACGCAAGAUACACCCCUACUUUUACAUUCCAAGCACAGUAUAUUGAAUAUAACCAAUAUUUUGUAAGAGCAUGUAUGUCAUUUUAUUUAUUUUUUCUUCCAAAAUCAUCCAAAGAAUUUGUUAUGCUAAGGUACUAAAUUGGUAUCAAUCAAAUUUCUAAUUUUCAUGAUUAAAAGUGUACCAAAAAAUCUAAAUUGUUUUAUGAAGGUACAAACAAUAGGGUUACGUACAAAGAAUAUGACUAUAUAUAUUAUAGCCUCUCUCAUAUACACAUGCAUGCAAGUAUAGAGAGGUAUAAAAUGGACUUUAGAAGAUUAAAAAACUAAAGGUUUUUUUAACCUAAUUAAAAGUUGAAUUUGGGAUCUAGUGCUUAAAUGCUCUAAUUAAGUGCUUAAAUGCUUAGAAUACUCAAAUAUUGAUUGAGAACGCUCAAGUAUUAAACAAGAGGUGCUCAAGCGCACUUAUCCCACACUCAAGCUUUCGAAGGCCAAUAUGCCAUAAUUCGCAAUAUUUUGAUAAACUCAUUUUAGAAAAUUGAAGAUUUAGUAAUAGUCCAAAUCUAUUAGGUUGUAACCUUAUAAAUUUGCCAUAAAAUUUCAAUUUCUUCUUGAUGCAUAUAUAGUCUAAAAAGUCAAUACAUUUUAUGAUACUUGAAACUCUUAAAGAUGUUGGAUUUCGUUUUUCUUUUUAGGUUUACAAAAGAAAAUCACAUCCCCUCAAGCUGUUGAGAAAUUAACUAAAUAAGCAUAGUAAUAUUGCAUCAUGGAUGUGAGGUUAGAGAUAGGUAUUGGGAUGUAAUCUAAUAGAGUAGUAAUUAUCGAGUAAAUUUAUAUACAUAAUUCUUAAUAAUUAAUGGGUUAUAAAUUUACGAUCUCUAAUCUCAUAAUCUUACUGUAGACCCUCAUUUUGGUCUAGUUUUUUUUUGUUAUUUUUGGAGCACUAUUUUCAUAUUGGUGGCAUCUUGGAGGAGUGGGGAGGCCGACUUCUUCAAGUGCUGAGAGCCGUAUGCAUGGACGCAUGGCCAAUGACACCCCCACCUUGCCUUGGUGGUGGUUAGGGAUGGAGACAUAUAUGAGCAAGGAGCAAAGGAAUAGUGGGUGAGCAGAAAAGUGGGUGAAAACUGGACUAAAAAGGAAACGAAUGACGUUUUUUUUAGAAGGGGAGUUGUAGAAAACUGAGAGGAGAGGGAAUGGAAAAAAGAGGUGAUAUUCGGAGAGAAAAACAGAGGAAUUGGGAUAGAGAUUUUUAGUUCCAGAAGGAGGGGGGUUUCAGCAAGGAAGAGACUAGAUAAAAAAAAAAAAAAAAAAAAAAAAAAAAAAAAAAAAACAGAAGCUUGGAGAGCAAGAUUUCUAGAGAGAAAAAAAAUAGGGGAUUUAGAGGAGCAAGAGGAAAAAUGAGGAAUUCGUGAGUUGGCUAGCUCAUUUUUGCUAGCAAUGAGCUCUCCUAGAUCUGCAGGAGUGUGAAAGUUGAUUUUCAUGGAGGGAACUAGAGGUGGUGGUCCCUCGGUAGUGUCACCUGUAAUCCAAUGGAAAACUGAUGUGUCCAGGCUUUUUCAGUAUUAUCUGGGUAAAACUGCUCCUCACCCGGUAGCUGGAAACUUCGAAUGAGACUUUACUACGCACAAAGGUUUAGAUGAAUUCAAGCAUUUCAUUCGCAGUCUCCCUAAGUUUAAGUUCUGGUAUGUGUUUCUUAUUUUGUUAGUUUGGUGUCUUGCAUUAUUUUGCUUUAAGGUUUCAUUUAUUAGUUGUUUUCAUUUCAGCAUGCAAUAUCCUAUCCUAUGUACUUCAUUUCAUUAUGGGUGGUGUUAAUUCAAUUGGUGGUUUGUAUCAAGAGAGCACUUUGAUUCCAUUCAUGUUUGGAUUGUUGAUGUUGUAAGUAAUCUGUAAUUUGUGCUCAGUGAUGGCAAGAUAUGGCCCAUAUCCACCAGCCGAUUGCAUGUCCAUGACUUAGUGGAUCACUCAUGCAUCACCUUGGAUAUGGAUAUGUAUCUUGUGGCCCAUAUCCACCAGCCGACCCUUGCCACCUUCAACCAUUAUACAUGAUGGUUAGCUACAUGGGCUUCAGCACUACCAGUGUCCAACCUCUUGCUUUCUACCACCUCCACCUAGCACCUCGAACCCUACUCAUGCAUGACCACCUUUGCUAUGCAAUCCCAAACAUGCCCAUAUUCCUUUUUGAUCCUUUAUGCUCACACAUUUUUACAAAUUAUUUUUUUGAAUGAUUUUCAUAAUUCCAGACUUUCGAAUAAUCUUAUUUUCACUUCAAUUCUCGAAAUAAUUUUCUAAGGUUCCAAUUUUUAAAGUUUCCGAAAUUUCAUUCUUGUAAUAAUUUUCCAAAGUUCCAAUUUUUAAAUUUAAUUUUUCGAAAUUCCUUUUUUCAAAUAGUUUUCGAAAACUACCAUUCUCAAAAUUUUCCAAAAUUCCAAAAGUUCAAAUUUAAUUUUAAAAAUACCAUUUUUCAAAAUUUCCAAAAUUCCAAAUUUAAUUUUAAAAUGUCAUCUUCAAAUAAAUUUUCCAAAAAUUCUAAUUUCCAAAUUUAACUUUUAAAAUGCAGUCUUCAAAUAAAUUUUCCAAAAAUUCAAAAUUUCAAAUUUAAUUUUUAAAAUGCCAUCUUCAAAUAAAUUUUCCAAAAUUUCAAAUUCCAAAUUCCAAAUUUAAUUUUUAAAAUGCCAUAUUCAAAAUUUAAUUUCUAAAACUCGAAUUCCUAAAUAUAAUUUUCAAAAUUCCAAUUUCUUUCAAAUUUAAUUUCCAAAAUUCCAAUUCUUAAAACUAAUUUUUAAAACUCCAAUUUUCAAAUAAUUUUCGAAAUUCCAAUUUCUUUCAAAUUUAAUUUCCAAAAUUCCAAGUCUUAGAUUUAAUUGUCGAAACUCCAAUUUUUAAAUAAUUUUCGAGAUUUCAAUUUUCAAAUAAAUUUCAAAACUCUAAUUUUCUUUCAAAUAUAUUAAUUCCACUCAAGUUUUUCAAAUAUUUUUUAAUUCUACAACUUUUUCAUCCUUAAUUAGAGUUUUAGGUCGCCAAAAAUCCUAAUUUUAAUAAGUGUUAUUAUCAUUUUGGUAUGCACUUAUACAAAUUUUCUUCAAUUUUUAAAUAUUUUUUUGUUUCUUUUGUUUUUUUUUUAAAUAAGCAAAAAUGAAUUUUUCAUAAUUCCAAAAUAAUGGAAUUUGUUAGACUAAUUCAUGCAAGCUAAAUUGGGCUUUGGUGGAGGCCCUACAUAUGAGUUUUCUCUUCUGAUUGUCAACUGUUAUGCUUAAUGAAUAUUGUUUGAUAUUUUUCUUGCUCUAUGCAUGUGAUAUAUUUUGUAUUCAUUAUUAUCCACUAUUUAUGUUUCAUGAUAGUGCUUUAUUACCUAUUGCCAAGGUACGCUAUCUCUCUCACUCUCACUCUCACUCUUACUUUGUUUAUUUAUUCAUUAUCAUAACUUGCUUUUGAUUUAUGAUCAUUUUGGUAUCCAUCAAUCUCCUAGUUAAUUGUCAUGUUUGCUUUACCUUAUUUAGUAGAGACUCGUUUCUAAGGGGCUUAAAGGGGUGCUAUGGCCUUUACUGUACCUUCCCAAUAAGUAACCUGACCCCCGAACCCAGGUUUGGUUUUUCACAGACCGUCUUUUCUAAAUAAGGAGUCACACUUAGGGUUUUAUUUUUUAUUUUUUAUUUUUUUUUCAUUUAAAAAUAAAACAAAAAUAAGUGGUGACUCCAAGUCAUUUUCUAAAAAAAUAAAUCAUUUUUCAAAUAAAAAACGAGUUUUGCCAUCGAAUGGGAACGCAUCGUGCGAAAUGCGGGGUCCACAAAAUGGCGACUCCACUAGGGAUUGCUAGAGGGUUUAACUUGAACGUAAGUUGAGGAAAAUGUGGCAUUUGAUUGGUCAGUCAAUGGGUACCCACCUCUUUUUAUGUUUUUGUUUGCUUGACUGUUGAUUGCAUAUUGAGAGCUCUUGGUAUCAUUAUCCUUGAUGCAUGCCUGGUUAUUGAAUUUGUUUGAGGCAUUGACAUGUUGAUUAUAUUGAUUGAUCAUUUCGCCUAUCCUCACAUAUUAACUCUCAUUGUUGUAUGAUUACUCUGCUCACCUUGACUUGUAUAUUCUUAGUGUUACUUAUAUUUUUCAUUUUUAUAUCUUGACUUUUUUUGUUAUAUACUAUCUUGAUCACCUCUGAGCAUGCCAUUUAUUCUUGUUAGAUAUUCAUCAUGAUUAUCAUAUUUCUUACUUAGCUUAUGUGUAGAUUUGGAUGAUAUACAUGUGUUUUGCAUGAUUGUCUGUUGCAUGACUUCUCUCAUCUACAACAUCAGUAUCAACCGAUUUAUGUUCAACAACCUUACAUUGCUCAGACUAGCAUACAACCACAACCACCACAUCCGAGAGCCACUACUCCUCUGCUGUUUAGACCAUAUGCAUAGAGGCCUGUGAGACAGUUCAUUCCAUUGGGCAUGACUUUGACUAGAGCUUUUGAGAAGGUCAGAGACGUUGGUGUGAUUGUUCCUUUGGCACCACGACCCUUGCCGUAUCCUAUUCCUCCUCAUUUCCGCUUACAUGAGCAUUGCUUAUAUCAUUAGAUUCAAGGGCAUGAUACUAAGCAUUGUGCGGCGCUCCAUCAUGCGAUACAAGACUUGAUUGAUUUAGGGUUGGUCAACUUGUCUGGGCCAUGUAUGACCACCAAUCCCCUACUUGCGCAUUCUACACAUGCAGUUCCCUAUCUUCCUAGUCUUCAAUAGAUUGUUUUGAAUGUUGAUGAUAUUGAUGGUCAUAUGGUAUUUUGGGAUGUUCUGGGUAAGGACUUGGUUCAAUUGACAUAGGUACAUCACUUUGCAGCAGUUUAGCUCAGAACACUUUUCAUUUUGAUUAUGGUCGUCAUCAGAGUCAUUUUUGUUUUGUCGAGUCCAGUUUUUAUUUCAUUAGAGUUAUUUUUGUUUUGUUGAGUCCAAUUUGGUUCAGAGUCAUUGUUUAUAGUUCAUGUUGAGAGUCCAGUUCGUUUGUAGUCCUUUAUCGCUUCACACAUAAUGUACUCAUUGGUUCAUUUAGUGAUGUGAUCUUUUUAUUCUAAGUAUGUGUUAUUCUUUUUCAGGAGUAUGCUUUACAUAUCUCGCCUUGAUGUGUGUUAUGUUUUUUAUAUGAGACAUCUUUUCACUUAUACAUCAUGAUCACUUUGGCCUGACCUAUCAUGGAGGAUAUUGAGCCUAUUGACCUAGGAUCAGAAGAUCAACCUAAAGAAUUCGAGACUGUGACCCAUUUCACCUUCUGAUCAGAGCAAUACCAUAUCCAUAUCCAUAUCCAUAUCCUGACUUUGUAGACUUGAUGACCUACCCAUUUUGAACCUGACAUGACACCACCCCUUGGUACCAUUAUACGACUUCACUACUUUUGUUCAUCUUAGCAAACUAUAGUGUCAUUGCCUAUUCUUUCUAUCAUUUUCUUUGAUCUGACUAGAUAGAGUCCGAGAUGGUUAGACCUGAGGUGAACUUUGAAUGAUGAUAGAUGGAUCAUGAUGAGAGAGUGGUUUGAUUGCUUGAUGAUAUUACUGAGAUAGAGGGGUUAUCAUGGAGUAUCUAGAUCUGAGUCAUUGCACAUGACUUCAAAUAGUCGAGAUGACUAGAAAUGGUGAUUUUAUGAGACAAUGGUGAGUGGCUUAUAAUGAUAGAGUGAGGUGAUUGUCAGAGGGCUUUGAUGAUUAUCACAAAGCAUCAGUGGGAGCUUUCACACGAUUUCAGAGGAGUUGACAUGGUUGUGUUUGAUAAAUGUCAGUCUUUAGUAUUAACCAUGUGAGAUCUUGAAAGCACGAUGUUCGAGGUUGUGGUCAAAGGAUGGGUGGUCAUCAUUUCAUGAGCCCAUUUACCCUAUCACCCUUACAUAUAUAGUUACCCGUUGCUAGCCUAUUGAGCCUCACAUGAGCACCAUAGCCUUUUCUUUCAUUACCUUAUUUACCUAUUACAUCAGUUUGAGGACCCUACAGUGCUUGCAUGCUUUGAUUAAAUACGUCAUGAGUUCUAGACCUGAUAUACAUAUUCAGGCCUCAUCUCUCACUCUUCAUUGUGAUAUUUUCCACUUUGACAUCAUCUCAUCAUUUUUUUCAGCAUCCCAUAUCAGCAUUUGUGAUAUUUGUUCUCUGUCUUUUAUCUCAUCAUUGCUUACUCAACAUUAUCUUUAUUUCACUUUGAGUGGUGGUUUUUCACACGUCACUGCAUGGAGGAUUGUCACAUUCUUUUCCCUCGUUCACCCUAUGGGCAGUGGUUCAAAGAUCUCAGUUUGAGAGGUUGUCUUGUUAGUAAGGAUUCAUGUUACAUCCGUAUGUGGAGAGGGUUUGAUCAUUUGAGUAUGUAUUUUCAUGGGAGGUAAUUCAUUAUUGAUUAGAGUAUGCACAAAAAAAAAAAGAUAAAAUAUAAUGCAUUCUUCAUUGUAUCAUUCUCCAUUGAGCACAUGUAUAAAUGUGCUGGUUUGCUUCAUUAGGUUUAUGUGUUAGAGAGAGUUCGUAUAAUAGGUCACAGUGACCCUCAUUUCUUUAUGAGAUUCAUCUUGAUGUAUAUUUUAGGUGAGAGUAUGAGUCACCUAUUCGAUUUUUGUGAGAGAGGCAAACGACUUUUCUUUAGGAUUUUUUUAUCAUUGCCCUAUUCAUCAUUACAUCCAAUUUUUUGUGACUUAUCUCCAUGCUUUGAUGCAGGUUGACCAUCACUCACUUUCCUAUCUUCUUCUAUCUUUACUUUAUUCCUCCAUUUCACUCUACCCAUUUUGAUUUCUUUAUUUUCUCAUCCUGCUUGAUGUUUGACUUAGGUUGAGCAUCCACACAUUAUACUUGCUUAUUUGAUAUGGUCAUUCCUUUAUCAUCAUUUUUCAUGUGGGAAUCCUUAGGUCCACGACUCAUGAUGUUUUCUAUGCAUUGCAUCUCAUGCAUGAAGGGUACGAGGAUUAUAUCAUUAGGAUCUUUGAGCCUAGUUUCCUUUCGUUUUUUUCACCUUAUUACCUUAGCUUACGUUACGUCCCAUGUCUUAAGACCACCCUAAGGCUAUGACUUCACACAUUGUGUUUGAUGGCUCACACAUGGGCAAUACUUGAGAUUGGUUGGAGAUUAUUUCUUGGAGCAUGAUGGAUGGGGAGUUGAGGUGAUAGAUUACAUUGGGGCCUACCUCGCUCAUUGAUUACAUUUUCUUUUGGGAUGAUGUCUUACCUUGAGGCAUAGUCAAUUCACUUCUUCACUUGUAUUAUGAUGGAUUAAGAGCUGUGUGAUGACCCUACACUAGGGCAUAGCCAUUUCAAAGAGCACUUUUAUUGGAAAUACAAGCACUCUACUCGAUAUUUUACAUUGGGACACACCCCACUCAUCGAUGGUUGAUUUUUGAGAUGACGGUUUAUUUUGAGACAAAAUUGCUUUGGAGAUUGUGCAUGGUAGACAUAGCCACUCUAUUGCUUCUUGUGGAGCAUAAGAUGAUUAGGGUCUGUUGAGGUUAUACUGGUAUAUUCAUUUUUAGCAUUGAGGGAUGAGAUUGACCUUAUUAUGAUAACACAUGUUGAGACAUAGCCCUCUCAUUGGCGAUGGACUUUGAUUUAUCUUGGAGCGUAGACACUUCAAAUGGUUUAUACUGGGGCAUACCCACUUCAUUCACAUUCAUAGAGCACGAGGAUUUUGAUUCAUAUGGAUUAUGUUGAGAUGUUUCCAUUUUUGGCAUCAGGAGUAGAGAUUGAUUGAUUUGGUGAUGUACACUAGGCAUGAUCUUCCUCAGCAGUUGUUGACUCAGAUACAUUACUUUAUACUGAGACGUAGCCGGGAUGAAAAUUAUUUUUCAUUGGAGCAUAGUCACCCUAUUGGACCCUUUACACUAGGGCAUAUCCGUCUUUUGGAGGGAAAUCAGAUUGAUUCUUUACGUUAGAGCAUCUAACGAGUGAUAUGGAGAUCAUUAGAUUAUUUCAUGUUGUCCUCAUUACAUACUUGAGCAUAGCCACCUUGUUGGAUGUUUUGACAUCGAGACUUGACUUUCUGUUAUGAUAACUGUUUUUGAUGGAUUAUGGAGCUAUUGACACCUUGGGUUUAGUUUCUCGGCAUACUUAGAUGAUCUUGGAUACCUACCUACCUUUCAUUUUGUACUCAAAUAUUUCACCCUUGAUACUUUCAUGCUUUAUAUCUUACCAGAACUUGACCAUUACCUUCUUUUAUCCCACACAUCUCACCAUGACACAUGACCUCACACCGCUCUCUCGAUUAUGAGAAAAUGUAGAUCAAUCCUCAAUUUUUUUUGUUGUGCUUUCAUAUAUCUUGUGGAAUUUAGGUUCAACAUCUUCCAUGAUGGUAGAGUUUGACAGUUUGUUAAUUUAUUGGUGACGAUGUUUCCAUUUUAACAGUUGACAUGUUGAGUUUUAACUUGCUUACAUUUUGCAUUCUGUGUAUUAGUCAUCUUUAUUUUUGUCUACCAGUCUGUUUUUGUUUGUCAGUAUGGUAUCCCGAUACAUGGUCAUGUUUGGCAUUCCCAUUUGAGGUUGGACAUAUUCAUUACAUGAUGGAUGAGCAUAUUUCAGAGUAUAGUAGUUUUAAGGCAUUUUGUAUAUCUUUUUUCUCACUGUUGCAUACUGGGGCAUACCCUCUUUCCAUGGGAUCAUCAGACAUUUCAUAGACUUCAUUAUUUUUUGACCUAGUUGUCGAUUCUUAUGAGUUGUCAUACUGAGGAAUAUCCUCUCCUGUCGAGUUUGCUUGCAUCGUUAUUCUAGUUAUCCUUUGGCUUUGGGCCACUUGAUCAGAUCACCAUCAUGUCAGUUCAGUUUGAGUUUUCAAGGCCACACCUAUAUCGGUUGGUCAUCUUCAUGUCAUUUUCCAUGUGAGUUUGAGUUUUUGGGACCACACCUAUAUCGAUCGUUCAUCAUUUUGUUAGUUUGAGUUUGGGUUUUUGGGGUUGAAUCUAUAUCGAUUGACCAUUUUCCUGUCAGUUUGUGUUCAGUUUGAGUUGGGACCACACCUAUAUCGAUUGGUCAUUGUCAUGUUAGUUUAGUUUGAGUUUUUAGGGUCGUACCUAUAUUGAUCGGUCAUUCUUCAUGUUAGCUCCAUGUCAGUUUGAGUUUCAGGAUCGCACCUAUAUCAAUUGGUCAUCUUCCUAUCAGUUUGAGUUUGAGUUUUUGAGUUGGGACCGUACCUAUAUCAAUCGGUCAUCUUCAUGUCAGUUCCGUGACGGUUUGAGUUUCAGGACCGCACCUAUAUCGAUUGGUCAUUUUUCUUAUCAAUUCAAUUAGUGUUUCAGGGUCGCACUUAUAUCAAUCGGUUAUCUUCCUAUCAGUUUGUGUUUAGUUUGAGUUAGGACCGCACCUAUAUUGAUCGGUCAUUCAUCUUGUCAGUUUGAGUUUGAGUUUUCGAGUUGGGAUUGUACCUAUAUCGAUUGGUCAUCUUCAUGUCAGUUUCGUGUCAGUUUAAGUUUCAAGACCGCACCUAUAUCAAUCGGUCAUUUUUUUUGUCAGUUCAGUUAGAGUUUCAGGGUCACACCUAUAUCAAUCGGUUAUCUUCCUAUCAGUUUGUGUUCAGUUUGAGUUGGGACCAUACCUAUAUCGAUCGGUCAUCAUCUUGUCAAUUUGAGUUUGCAUUUUUAGGACCGCACCUAUAUUAAUCGGUCAUUUUUGUUGUCAGUUCAGUUAGAGUUUUAGGGCCGCACUUAUAUCAAUCGGUCAUCUUUCAAUCAGUUUGUGUUUAGUUUGAGUUGAGACUACACCUAUAUUGAUCAGUCAUUCAUCUUGUCAGUUUGAGUUUGAGUUUUCGAGUUGGGAUCGCACCUAUAUCGAUCAGUCAUUGUCUUGUUAGUUUGAGUUUGUGUUUUUUGGGUCGUACUUAUAUCAAUUAGUCAUCUUCCUAUCAAUUUGUGUUCAGUUUGAGUUGGGACCGCACCUAUAUCGAUCGAUCAUCGUCUUGUCAGUUUAAGUUUGCAUUUUUUAGGCCGCACCAAUAUCAAUCGACCAUCUUCCUAUCAUUUUGUGUUCAAUUUGAGUUGGGACCACACCUAUAUUGAUCAGUCAUUCAUCUCCUUAGUUCAGUUAGAGUUCGGGGUCGCACCUAUAUCGAUCGGUCAUCUUCUUGUCAGUUUGUGUUCAGUUCGAGUUGAGACCGCACCUAUAUCGAUCUGUUAUCUUCAUGUUAGUUCAGUUUGGGUUUUGAGGCUGCACCUAUAUCAAUCGGUCAUCUUCCUAUCAGUUCAGUUCAGUUUGAGUUUUCGGGAGCGCACCUAUAUUUAUCGAUCAUUCAUCCUAUCUUGACAAUUCUGCUUGAGUUUUGAGGCCGCACCUAUAUCAAUCGGUCAUCUUCUUAUCAGUUCAGUUCAGUUUGAGUUUUCAGAACCGCACCUAUAUCGAUCGGUUAUUCAUCAUGUCUUGUCAAUUGUGCUUGAGUUUUUGGGACUGCACCUAUAUCGAUUGGUCAUUUGUCUUAUCAGUUUGAGUUCAGUUUGAGUUUCUAGGACCGCACCUAUAUCGAUCGGUCAUUCAUCUUGUCAGUUGAGUUGAGUCUUGUUCGGCUUCGAGUCACGCCUACCUAGUUGAGUCUAUUCAGCCUUGAGCCACACCUUAUCAUUUCUUUGAGUUCUUUUUCCAUGUGUCGAUCACUUCUUGUCUCAGUCAUCUUUAUAUUGUUCAUUGUAUCAUGGUCCAGUGUUAUUCAUUGCAUAUACACUCAUCGCAUCAUCCACAUUUUUGGCUAGAGUCUCACCUUUCUAGUAUGUGCCCUUAAUUUUGAGCUUAUCGCGUUAUGUGUUUAGACCAAAAUUUGAAAUCUUUUCUAUUCUUCGGUACAGUUCACUUCAUUCCAUUCAUCUCUCACAUAUCUGUGAUCCAUUCAUUACACUUGUCAUCUCUAUCGACGAAUGACAUAUUUGUAGAUCCUCAUUUUGGUAUAGUUUUUUUGUUAUUUUUAGAGCACUAUUUUCAUAUCACCCCGGGAAAGCUGGUGACAUCUUGGAGGAGUGGUGGAAGGGGAGGCGGCUUCUUUAAGUGCUGAGAGCUGCAUGCAUGGAUGCAUGGCCAAGGACACUCCCACCUUGCCAUGGUGAUGGUUAGGGAUGGAGACAUCUUUGAGCAAGGAGUGGGGUGAGCAAAAAAAGUGGGUGAAAACAGGACUGAAAAGGGAACGAAUGACGUUUUUUUUAGAAGGAGAGUUGCAGAAAACGGAGAAGAGAAGGAACGAAAAAAAGAGGUGAUUUCCAAAGAGAAAAACAGAAGAAGUGGGAUGGAGAUUUUUAGUUCCGGAUGGGGGAAGGUUUUUCAAUAGGAGAGAGACCA